This 473-nucleotide ribosomal RNA is filed under the name uncultured bacterium. RNAcentral's name for it is "SSU rRNA". It matches the Rfam family "Bacterial small subunit ribosomal RNA", at positions 26 to 518 of the family's 1533-position model. The record is from RNAcentral.
AGGACGAACGCUGGCGGCGUGCUUAACACAUGUAAGUCGAGCGGAAAGGCCCUUCGGGGUACUCGAGCGGCGAACGGGUGAGUAACACGUGAGUAAUCUGCCCCUAGCUCUGGGAUAGCUCCGGGAAACCGGGAUUAAUACUGGAUACGACCACCUUAGACAUCUUUUGUGGUGGAAAGAAUUUCGGCUAGGGAUGAGCUCGCGGCCUAUCAGCUUGUUGGUGGGGUAACGCCUACCAAGGCGACGACGGGUAGCCGGCCUGAGAGGGCGACCGGCCACACUGGGACUGAGACACGGCCCAGACUCCUACGGGAGGCAGCAGUGGGGAAUAUUGCGCAAUGGGCGAAAGCCUGACGCAGCGACGCCGCGUGGGGGAUGAAGGCCUUCGGGUUGUAAACCCCUUUCAGCAGGGACGAAGCGAAAGUGACGGUACCUGCAGAAGAAGCGCCGGCUAACUACGUGCCAGCAGCCGC